RNAcentral lists this ribosomal RNA (628 nucleotides) under uncultured bacterium. Its description in RNAcentral is "bacterial SSU rRNA". It matches the Rfam family "Bacterial small subunit ribosomal RNA", at positions 211 to 831 of the family's 1533-position model. The record is from RNAcentral.
CCUCGCGCGAUUGGAGCGGCCGAUGUCAGAUUAGGUAGUUGGUGGGGUAAAGGCUCACCAAGCCAACGAUCUGUAGCUGGUCUGAGAGGACGACCAGCCACACUGGAACUGAGACACGGUCCAGACUCCUACGGGAGGCAGCAGUGGGGAAUUUUGGACAAUGGGCGCAAGCCUGAUCCAGCAAUGCCGCGUGCAGGAAGAAGGCCUUCGGGUUGUAAACUGCUUUUGUACGGAACGAAACGGUCUGAGUUAAUACCUCGGGCUAAUGACGGUACCGUAAGAAUAAGCACCGGCUAACUACGUGCCAGCAGCCGCGGUAAUACGUAGGGUGCAAGCGUUAAUCGGAAUUACUGGGCGUAAAGCGUGCGCAGGCGGUGAUGUAAGACAGUCGUGAAAUCCCCGGGCUCAACCUGGGAAUUGCGAUUGUGACUGCAUCGCUGGAGUGCGGCAGAGGGGGAUGGAAUUCCGCGUGUAGCAGUGAAAUGCGUAGAUAUGCGGAGGAACACCGAUGGCGAAGGCAAUCCCCUGGGCCUGCACUGACGCUCAUGCACGAAAGCGUGGGGAGCAAACAGGAUUAGAUACCCUGGUAGUCCACGCCCUAAACGAUGUCAACUGGUUGUUGGGUCUC